UGUUUUGAUUGCAUAGCCCUUUGUUUCUGGGAUAAUAUUUAUUUUUAGCUCCCAUCUUCAGCGUUCAGAGUUUUUAUGGAUUUAGCUUAUCAGUGAAGUGAUGCUCAAAUGACUGAUCCCAGAACUUUUGUGAAAAAUAUUCAUAGUAUCACCCAUGGUUUAUGAUUCAAUAAGGAGACAUAUGAAGUAUUCUUUUCCCUAGUGAUCUCAAGUGACACACACUAAAGACAGUGAGCUCUUGAUGUGCUGACACUUGUUCCUGGAAAAGAAGAAAAAAAAAGAAAAAAAGCAAUAGCAUAUUAUAAAAUUUCAGCCUUCAGAUGCUAAAAAAAGGAGGAAAUGGAAGAAAAGUACUGCCUCGAGUCAGAAAUCAGCAAGACAAUAUGUAGUGCUUCUGUAGCUUCAAAGCAGGCUGACUCAGAAGCUAAUGUUUUGGUAGAAAAGGUCAAGAAGAAAAUGGUUUGUGAUUCUCAGUGAUCUUUAUAUUAAGUGACUCUUAGGUCUCCAAUUACAGAGCUGCUCUUCGAUGGAAAAAAAAAUCAACCACUCUGUUAACAGCAGAAAAUAUUGCAAGUGAGCACAGCCUACAGUUGCAGGGUGUGAGGAGGGGGGGACAGAAGGAAUAAAAUGGAUGAAAAGUAGUGAAGUUUUUUGUGGAGAGUGCCUCAAUCCAGAUGAAAAAUAGAGCAGAGGAUGCUGAUAGAUAACAUAAUAAGAGGAACAAAAUUUGUCAAUAAGUAACUGCAUGAAUAAUAGAGAGAUUGACACAACCAUAGCAUUUCCUUUUUUUCUGUGAUCCCUUUUGGUUCUGUCUUUCAUCUUUAAAGGAGCCGAGAAGGGGAUUCUCACUUAAGCAAAUGAGAGCCCCAACAAGCACCUCCCAAUAACAAUCAGUUACGAGGGCCUGCACUUCAGGUGACUGCUCCAAGGGAGCCCAGGGCUUUCUGUAAAGCUGCUGCCCAACCUCUUUUAAAAAAUGGUCUCUUGUUCUCUGUGCUUUGAAGCUGGAGAAGCCUUGCAAAUACUUAUAUUGUUAAAGGUUCACCCCUGCAAUGGGAGAAAAAAGUCACUCUAUCUUCCAUGGUUUUGUUGUGCAACAGAUAGACGGAACACGAACAGAAGCUGCAAAGCUCUCUGGCAAAAGCUUUCCUUAUUUGACACUGCUUCUUCAUGUUAAGUAGUUGCUAAUUACACUUGAAAAGACUUGUACUUGAAAUUUUUCUUAGGAAACCUCAAGUAGAAGCAUGAAAAGCAUUUUUCAUGUGCACACUGAGAAGCUUGAUGUUCAAUCGAUAACCAGUAGCAGUAGGAACCUACUUUCCAUAAAAAAGCCUUAAAAAUUCUUUCAUCCAAAGAGCAUUCUAAAAAUAAGCAUUUUCUGUACUUUGAGGAAAUGAAGUGGGGAUUUGUUUUUGUUUGUAUCAAAUAAAUGGAUUUUGAUCCCUG
Molecule: long non-coding RNA, 1446 nt
Organism: Pezoporus flaviventris
Lineage: Eukaryota; Metazoa; Chordata; Aves; Psittaciformes; Psittacidae
Exons: 2
Source: RefSeq, a predicted model, not a curated record